AGAGUUUGAUCCUGGCUCAGAACGAACGCUGGCGGCGUGGAUAAGACAUGCAAGUCGAACGGGACCAGGUUUGUAGUAAUACAGGCUUGGUUCAGUGGCGAACGGGUGCGUAACACGUGAGCAAUCUGCCGGGAAGUGGGGGACAGCUCGCCGAAAGGCGAAUUAAUACCGCAUAUGGCCAUUCUUUGAUUAAAGGAAAAGCCAAAGCAGCAAUGCGCUUCCUGAUGAGCUCGCGGCCUAUCAGCUAGAUGGCGGGGUAAUGGCCCACCAUGGCUAUGACGGGUAGCUGGUCUGAGAGGACGACCAGCCACACUGGAACUGAGAUACGGUCCAGACACCUACGGGUGGCAGCAGUCGAGAAUUUUUCACAAUGGGGGCAACCCUGAUGGAGCGACGCCGCGUGGAGGAUGAAGGCCUUCGGGUUGUAAACUCCUGUCAUGCGGGAACAAGCAAGUGAUAGUACCGCAAGAGGAAGAGACGGCUAACUCUGUGCCAGCAGCCGCGGUAAUACAGAGGUCUCAAGCGUUGUUCGGAUUCAUUGGGCGUAAAGGGUGCGUAGGUGGUGACGCAAGUCUGGUGUGAAAUCUCGGAGCUUAACUCCGAAAUUGCACCGGAUACUGCGUGACUCGAGGACUGUAGAGGAGAUCGGAAUUCACGGUGUAGCAGUGAAAUGCGUAGAUAUCGUGAGGAAGACCAGUUGCGAAGGCGGAUCUCUGGGCAGUUCCUGACACUGAGGCACGAAGGCCAGGGGAGCAAACGGGAUUAGAUACCCCGGUAGUCCUGGCAGUAAACGGUGCACGUUUGGUGUGGGCGGGUUCAGACCCCGUCCGUGCCGGAGCUAACGCGUUAAACGUGGCCGCCUGGGGA
RNAcentral lists this ribosomal RNA (867 nucleotides) under uncultured bacterium. RNAcentral's name for it is "bacterial SSU rRNA". It matches the Rfam family "Bacterial small subunit ribosomal RNA", at positions 8 to 879 of the family's 1533-position model. The record is from RNAcentral.